AUGGCACCUCUAAGCUUACAUCUAAUAAAAAAAACAAUCUUGUUACAUAGAACUUUUAGUAUCGGCUAGAGAAAAAAAACUUGACUUAUAGAGAGAAGUACCGUAAGGGAAAUAUGGAUUUUAAAAAUAAAGAAGAUGUAAAAUUUCGUACCUUGUGUAUCAGGGUUAAGCAAACUACUCAGGUAGCUAUCAUUCCCGAAAUGGGGUGAGCUUCUCUCUACUAUUAUUACUCGUAGUAAAGAGCUUGUCAAGCUGAGAGAAGUAGUGAAACGCUAAACGGACCCCAAAUUAUCUGGUUCCCCGGGAAAAGAAUUUAAUUCUCUUCCACGUUAUUGCCUGAACUUUUAGAGUGCUAUGGUAAAAACGAGGAGCUAAAGCUUAGAGGGAUGAGCUUCUAAGCUUACACGUGGUAUGGAACAAUUAAUAUACUUAUCUCAGGGUUUAUAAGGUUUAAUAGUGACCAAAUACAAGAAGUAUGUUAUAACUUACCCCUUAUCAAGAAGUAUUUAAAUCUAAAUAUUUUCCUUUUUUACCGGGGUUAACCAGCUCAAUGAAGCGCUGAUGUAACAAUGCUUAAAUUAGUAGAAAGUCUUGUAUCUGCAUAUACUUUUAGGUUUCUGAGAGUUUUACAAUAAUUUAGGUCUAUUGAAGGAACUCGGCAAACGGCUUUUCGCAUGUUUAUCAAAAACAUCACCUUUAGAAAUAUUAAAGGCACCGCCUGCUCAAUGCUUUAAAGUAAAUAGCCGCAGUAUUUUGACUGUGCUAAGGUAGCAUAAUCAUUAGUCUCUUAAUUGGAGGCUGGUAUGAAUGGCGAGACGAGAAAGCUGCUGUCUCCAAUAGAAAUCUCGAAUUUUAUUUCUGGGUGAAAAAGCCCAGAUGGCUUUGAAGGACGAUCAGACCCUAUGGAGCUUUACUCUUAUGUGUUAAUAAAGCUAUUGAAAGUGUAUUAAUUUAGAGAGUUUCGUUGGGGCGACGAAGAGAAUUAAAUAACACUCUUUUCCAAGAACAAUAAUCAGUGGAUUAAUGAUCCUCACCGAGAGAUCAGAAGACCAAGUUACCCUAGGGAUAACAGCGUAAUCCCCUAAGAGAGUUCAAAUCGAUAAGGGGGUUUGCGACCUCGAUGUUGGAUUAAGAAAUUAGCGGGGUGCAGAAGCUCCGUUAAAAAGUCUGUUCGACUUUUGAUUUCUUACAUGAUCUGAGUUCAGACCGGCGUAAGCCAGGUUGGUUUCUAUCCUCAAAGUAGAAGUCUCACUCUUAGUACGAAAGGACCGGGGUGGGGGGAAAAUUUCUGAUUGCAGAAUAAAAAUAACGUAGUCUUUAAGUAUG
RNAcentral lists this ribosomal RNA (1326 nucleotides) under Scapholeberis mucronata. RNAcentral describes it as "16S ribosomal RNA". It matches the Rfam family "Bacterial large subunit ribosomal RNA", at positions 193 to 2749 of the family's 2925-position model. Lineage: Eukaryota; Metazoa; Arthropoda; Branchiopoda; Diplostraca; Daphniidae. The record is from RNAcentral.